GAUGAACGCUGGCGGCGUGCCUAAUACAUGCAAGUCGAGCGAACGGACGAGAAGCUUGCUUCUCUGAUGUUAGCGGCGGACGGGUGAGUAACAUGUGGAGAAACUACCUAUAAGACUGGGAUAACUUCGGGAAACCGGAGCUAAAACCGGAUAAUAUUUUGAACCGCAUGGUUCAAAAGUGAAAGACGGCCUUGCUGUCACUUAUAGAUGGAUCCGCGCUGCAUUAGCUAGUUGGUAAGGUAACGGCUUACCCAGGCAACGAUGCAUAGCCGACCUGAGAGGAUGACCGGCCACACUGGAACUGAGACACGGUCCAGACUCCUACGGGAGGCAGCAGUAGGGAAUCUUCCGCAAUGGGCGAAAGCCUGACGGAGCAACGCCGCGUGAGUGAUGAAGGUCUUCGGAUCGUAAAACUCUGUUAUUAGGGAAGAACAUAUGUGUAAGUAACUGUGCACAUCUUGACGUUACCUAAUCAGAAAGCCACGGCUAACUACGUG
This 497-nucleotide ribosomal RNA is filed under the name uncultured bacterium. RNAcentral's name for it is "partial 16S ribosomal RNA". It matches the Rfam family "Bacterial small subunit ribosomal RNA", at positions 28 to 507 of the family's 1533-position model. The record is from RNAcentral.